AACAAGUUUAAAGUUAAUCACCCAAUCCUUCUCCCCAAAUGAUGUCUACAUCAGGCGGCUCCAUGCAGACUCGUUUGAUGGUAUUCCAUAUUGAUCUGAAUCAUCUGAAAUAGAAGAAUGCUUCAAAUUCAGGAGGACCGUAUAUUGCAGGAUCCAAUUUGCUUGUGAUAGGGAAUUCCUGUGAAUGAUCAGAUCCCCUUUUAUAGUGACUUUCCAUCAACAGUUGAUAGAUGCACAACAAACUCAUGCUCAGAUUAAAGAUUCUACCUUUAAUAGCUCAAUAUUCACAGGGUUCACCCCGGCCAAAGUCUGUCGAGCAAACUCAUUAUCCCUUAGCCAAGAAAAUCUGUCUCCUGAAAAGCAAGGAACUGGUUCUUCUGGACUCCUUCUGUCUCUUCUUCUUUCAACUGGACGCCAUCAUUGUAUAGAUUGUCUAUAUCGGAGAAGGUGGUGAAGGGAACAUCAGAACUUGACAAUGUGGCAGCAAUCAA
Andrographis paniculata is the source of this 491-nucleotide long non-coding RNA. RefSeq lists it as uncharacterized. Lineage: Eukaryota; Viridiplantae; Streptophyta; Magnoliopsida; Lamiales; Acanthaceae. The transcript is spliced from 3 exons. The record is from RefSeq and is a predicted model, not a curated record.